GUGGUUCACCAUAUACAUAAUUGAUGUUCUGAUGUCUGUUUACGUUGCAUAUACUCUGUAAUAAAUUAUUGUAGGCCAAGUAGUUAAUAUAAUUUAUGUAGCUCAAGAGAAAUUUGUGCUUUGCAGUUUUGUAAACUGUUUAGAAUUGAAUUAACAUUUGAGGAUGAUAAGAUUUUUUAUUUUUUUUAAACAAGUUGCAUAUGUUCACCAAGGCUGCAUUUAAUCAAACGUACAGUAAAACAGUAUUGCUGUGAAAUAUUAUUACAAUUUAUAUCACUUCUGUUUUAAUAUAUUUAAUAAUUUAAUUUAUUCCUAUGAUUUCAAAGCUGGCUUUUCAGCAAUCUUCAGUAAUACAUUUUUUUUCUUUGAUGAAUAGAAAUGUCAAAACAACAACAUUAAUUUGAAAUGGGGAUCUUUUAUAACAUUAAAAAUGAAUGAUCAAAAUAAAUAAAAAAAUAAUCAAAUUUAAUGCAUCCUUGCUCAAUACAAAGUAUUUCUUGCUUUAAAAACUUUACUGAAUCCAAACAUUUAAGUGUAGUGUAUAUGAAAAUAGUUGUCAUAUUGUCACAGGUCGGAGCGGACCACAGGUGUUGCGAGUCACGCCCCUUCCCGACUUCCACCUCGAGGAGGUCCCAAGAUCACCCCAAGGACCAGACACACAAGAUAAGUUAAGGGAGGGAACUGAGCCUGAGAACUCUGGAGGUCUUUGGUAAGUAAUCACAAGGGGAGGGGGGGGCAAAGGGCUCUUUCGUCCUUUCCCAGAACUUCUACCAGUCUCCUGACUAAUCCUAAGUCCUUCCUUAGCGGCUUGAUUUCCCGUGGCGCCCUUCUCUUCUCCUGAAGGCAACAGAACACACAAUGAGUAAUAGAUAAAACGGAGAAGAAUGCCUUGUUCCUAGCUUCUUUGCUCUUUGGGUUGCACUUCACCAGCGUCUGGACAGCUCCUCCACUCCCAUUGACCUCCUAGGUAAGUAUAAGGCGACACACAAAUCCCUGAGGGCACAGGUAAGUAACAACGGUAAGGAUGUAGCAAGGUAAGUAUUCAACAAGUGACUGUAUCUUCACGCUGGGCUUUACAGGGCGUAUUCAAGGACAAUAGCUUUUAGCUCGUACAGACAGGUAAGUAUUCAACAAGUGACUGUAUCUUCACGCUGGGCUUUUCAGGGCGUAUUCAAGGGCAAUAGCUUUUAGCUCGUACAGACAGGUAAGUAUUCAACAAGUGACUGUAUCUUCACGCUGGGCUUUACAGGGCGUAUUCAAGGACAAUAGCUUUUCCCACAAUAUCCGCACAAUACCUUGUUUUGCUUUCGCACUUCACCUUCAAGCUGGGUCCAGAGAACGGAGUUAUAGGCGGGCGUAGGUGGAAUAGGUGGGCACCGCCACGGCAGCCUACGUUCUUUCCAACAGGAACCUUUCUCGGCCUGGAGGGCAAGUACAGACAACAGGGACACGGCACAGCACUGCAAAGCUUUAGUGCACACACGUCAAAGACAGACUCACCCACUGCACUACACACACUUCAGUGAUUUUUAAGGUCGGUACUCCACACCCGGUCGGAUUUCGUCCUGGAGGAAUUUGCAGUCGCUGUCACGGUAAGUGUUCCAAACUUUACGGUGUGGCCACAGCCAAAUAACAUCCAUUCACCCACGCUCUACUUCGGCUCACCCACUCGUCUCGUCCUCCAACGAUGGGGCCGCUCAACAAGCUGUUAAUCACUCCAACAGGUAUUGGUUAUCCACAUCCAAGUAUGAGCAAGGAAUAUGUAAACAAUCCAAUGUACUCACAAUCUUCGUGAUACUGGUCCUCUCCCGCUCUCUUUCUCAUCCAGAUAUACACAACAAUCUAAGCAAUCCAAUGUACUCACAGUCUUCGUAAUACUGGUCUCCUCCCGCUCUCUUUCUCUCCCCAGCUUCGUGCAGACGCCCAGAAAGGUCGUCGUUGUUCCACAAUGUCACUAUUUCUCUACGGCACCUUCGUACAACAGACACGAGUGAGUACGACUUCUCUCCAUCAACUUCACUUUGGCAAACCUGUUCCAGUGGCCGUUUUCAAAUCCUCCAAUUCGCUUAGCGACUCCACAAUUACUCUCAUCUGCUUCGCCCUACUCCAGCGCCCAAACACUCCGUCCCACUCGUGGCGUUCCUUGGGAGGCCAAAAACAACACACCUUCCUGUAUCCUCGAUGCCCUCUUUAUACCCAUGAACUGCCCUGUCUGCAAUCGCCACAUCAUUGGACACACCUGCUGCAGAUUUCCCUUGAUUUGGAGCGUUCGGGGUUUUCCCGGAAGUGACAAGGGCUUACACAUUUCCGGUCCGGGCGGAACUUCUCCUCUCACUUUGGUUCCGCCCUCAAAGUCACUUCGUGACAAUAUACU
Molecule: long non-coding RNA, 2374 nt
Organism: Cyprinus carpio carpio
Lineage: Eukaryota; Metazoa; Chordata; Actinopteri; Cypriniformes; Cyprinidae
Source: Ensembl